GCCGAAGCGCGUCCCCGGCGCCGGCCCUCGGGUUUCCGGCGGCUGCCGCGCUGUCGGUGCGCCGCGGCGUCUCCGCCCUUCGCCUGGAGAAGAGCUGUAUGAGGCGCGAGAGUACUGCAGUUAAGCUUCGGGGAAAACCCUCCAGAUGUGGGCUGGAUUCCGAUCGCGUUACAGAUGAGGACGCUGAAGCCAGAGGGACUGUGACAGAAACGCUGGGCGGGCGUCGUGCAUGUCAUCCUCGGGCGGCUGGAGUACAGGGAGGAGACCGAGGCGCGAGCAAGUAACUUGCUGGGGGUCAUGCAGCCACGAGACGCGUGGGCUUCGAAUCCAGGUGGUUCUUCUCCAGAGACUGCUUUCUGACCCCUGUUGCAUCUCUUUCCUAAAAGAGUGUCAUAAAAAACAAUCACAACA
Tupaia belangeri chinensis (Chinese tree shrew) is the source of this 411-nucleotide long non-coding RNA. RefSeq lists it as uncharacterized. The transcript has 2 exons. NCBI's taxonomy places the organism in Eukaryota, Metazoa, Chordata, Mammalia, Scandentia, Tupaiidae. The record is from RefSeq and is a predicted model, not a curated record.